AUCUAAUUUGUGUGGAGCUGCACUGUGUGUGUGCGCGCGCACGUGUGUGUGGAGUGUUUUAGUCACAGAAGAGGGGUGAGAAGAGGAAGGGAGCAUUUACAUAGAACCCCCAAUUUUCCUUGAAUCCCAGGGAGUUAAUUAUUUCAGGGUACAGGAUACUGUGGCCACCUGCUGAGGCUUAUUGAGCUGGCUUUCUGGGUCCCUGGAGUGGGCACAUGGCAUGAGAGUCCACAUGUGAAGAAGAGAAACCAGAGACCUGAGUGACUCCAUCUGAGCUGGAGAGAGCACAGAUGAAGGCACACAAAGUAUGGCUCCAGACACCUUCCCGUCAAUAUCUUCUGUCUGUCCCUUGAGAAGAGCAAUUGAUCUGAGGCUUUCAGUGUCUAAGUUACAUCAUAAGAGGACUUGAGGCAAAGCUUACGUGGAUUUUGUUACUUGGCCCCACUGAGUUAAUGCUGGAGAAGUGGAUCCCGUGCUCCGUAGUAUGGAACUUUGGCUGAAUCUCCAAAGUCUUCCCUCAGCCUCUCUACCAUUAAAAAGACAUCAUUAAGUAGAAUGGACUGCAGAAAACAGACUCAAAUUCCUGGCCUUUGUCAUGCAAAAUAGAACUUUUCAUUGUAAGAGGAUCAGACCGCCUUACUCCUGCAAGGGCCCUGGAGGCAGGCAGCAGAGAUGACAUAUACUCAGCAUCUCGGGUGUGAUGGUUCCUGUGAGGGUGACUCCUUCUGGGUUCAGGUGCCUGAGAGGAGCCACAGAUGGUACAGGCCAUUACUCACUACCCUAAGGCAGCACAGCCAGUCCCCCAUUGUUCAGGAUAUAACAAAGUACUUAGAUCAAGCCAGUGACAAAGCCAUUCUCUCUGAGCACUAAUUAGCCUCUGAGUAAUUUCUAAUCUAACUCCAAUUUCAACCAUAUGUAUAUACAGAUGCAGUUUGCUUUACACUUCUUGUCUUCCUUUUCUCAUCAUUCUUGGAUCCUCUUGCCACCCCCUCCCCCAUUCCUGCAUCUUUUUCAUUCUGUUCAUCAAUUUCCUUUCCUGAGAUGUUUUAACAUUUAACUUGGGACUUGAAGGUUGACAAUGUUUGGGAUCCUACGUAUUCUCCUACA
Molecule: long non-coding RNA, 1107 nt
Organism: Canis lupus familiaris (dog)
Lineage: Eukaryota; Metazoa; Chordata; Mammalia; Carnivora; Canidae
Exons: 6
Source: RefSeq, a predicted model, not a curated record